RNA transcript from Halichondria panicea, 1081 nucleotides. RefSeq lists it as uncharacterized. The transcript has 6 exons. The record is from RefSeq and is a predicted model, not a curated record. Lineage: Eukaryota; Metazoa; Porifera; Demospongiae; Suberitida; Halichondriidae.
AGCUAAACUGCAUGCUAAAGUAUUUAUAAAAAGAUAUUUCCACAGAGCUUGAAGGGCUAUAGAUCUAGCUAGCUAACCUGGAUCUGUAUUGCAUACAUAGUCUACAACACCUGACUGAAUUCAAAGUCAGGCAAUGGCAGCCAGUAUAAAUAGCUUCCAUUUUCAAGUCGUAGGAGAUGACCACACUGGUAAUCAGGCUCUGUUGAAAUGAUACGCAAUAGUAAGUCCAUUAAUAUAGCUGUUAACCAUGCAAGUCGUGGAGGUGAAUUCUGUCAACGUUAUUAUUAUAGGGUAGGCACUUUGAGGUCAAUGGAAAUCUGUGCAACAUUCGGCUGUCACUGUUCCAAGACCCAACUGAAAGAACUGUCCUUACGUUGGGAUCUCCCGAAACCAUCGAUGGCUACAUCUUCGUGUACAAUGCUGCAGAUAUGGAAUCUUUCCAUAGGCUGAAUGAAUGGAUCGAUAUGUUCAACCAUGAGAAAUCAAUAUUUGAAGAGCCCAAAGUUCUGCUAGGAAAUGUGCCGAGCAGUGGAGAGAGAAAUGUGGAGCUCAAUCUUGUCUUGGCAUUUACUGAUUUUACAAACAUGAAGAACUUUGAAACUGAUCUUGCUGAAGACACAUUUGGAGCAGAGAGAGCGAUUUCAACACUUGUUAGUGCUAGUUUGCCAACGGCUACAUAGCCACAAAGUCCAACAACGAUAUUAGCGACCUUACAAGCUAAUACAACUGUUAAAGGAAAUGACAAAGCGAUAACAUUACCCGCUACUGCCAGUCGUAGGAGAUCGAAAACUGCCAGAGGCCCGCAAACAUUGGUAUCUUCCGAAUACGCUGAUAGCUUCAGUUUCAAUAGCCAAGAGUUUUGGUUGCUAAGCAAAACAAUGAUGGACUUAACAUGACCGUUGCCAAGAUGUCAUCACUCAAUCUAGACUCUGAGGAUAUGGAUGUGAAGUAAGAUGGGACAGAAAGCAGCUCCGGGAAUACAGCAAACCCAUUGGAUAGAUUUUCAAGAGUUGCUAAGGAAGCAAAUGGUUAUCUGAAAGCUGCCCAAAAAAAGAUCAAAUUGGCUCAAAAAACAAGCAAC